CCUGAGAAACCCAAAAGAUCGAAUGGGGAGAUUCAUCGUCAGCGAUCCAGGCACGUGUGCGGUUCGUGAUGCCAUAAGAUUUCGGUCUUGAGGUACACGUCCGUGUGGUUUUUGCCUGGUGUCGUCGGCGUGCACUUCUCCCCUAGUAGGACGUCGCGACCCGUUGGGUGUCGGUCUACGGCCCGGGUGGGUGCCUGUCAUGUGUACGACGCUUCACGGCGUCAUGUGGCUGACAGACCCCCGGUUGUCUGACCAGCUGCCCGGCGGUACUCGCACGGUAUCGAGCCGCAAAUUCGAACUGCGUCCGGCCCGCCGCAAGCGAGGCCAGUGUUUCCCGGAUGUACGGACCUAGUGCCGUCACCGGGCCUGGCCAGCUGUUGGUUGGCGGUGUCCUAGGACUGGCUUCAAUGAUACCGGUCGGCGACGCUACUGCUUUGGGUACUUUCAGGA
This 450-nucleotide ribosomal RNA is filed under the name Ophion sp. CNC 422407. RNAcentral's name for it is "partial 28S ribosomal RNA". Lineage: Eukaryota; Metazoa; Arthropoda; Insecta; Hymenoptera; Ichneumonidae. The record is from RNAcentral.